Molecule: long non-coding RNA, 806 nt
Filed under: Gossypium barbadense (sea-island cotton)
Lineage: Eukaryota; Viridiplantae; Streptophyta; Magnoliopsida; Malvales; Malvaceae
Description: long non-coding RNA (GBAR_LNC015021)
Source: RNAcentral
UUACAAUUUGACCCAUAUACUUGCAGACGCUGCUGUUUAAUCUUAUAUCUUAUUGUUGUAGUAUUUCCGGUCCAGACGUUCACAUAUCUAACGGUGAUCAAGUUGUUGAUGCCAUUGCUAGGGAGGUUUCAACAUUAGACUUGAAUUUAAAUUUCUGCAUUUGAUAAGAUAAACAAGAAAAUUUAGGAUUAUAGAUACAAAAUUUUUAAUUUUUUUAUUUUGUAUUUGAUUUUUAAUUUAUUAUCUUUGAUUCAAUGUAUGACUCAGAGUGGAACCUUUCCAAUUGAGCAAGAUCCUGAACCGGAGAGAAUUUUAAGGCGAGCUCGUCAGCAAAUGCAAAACAAUCCACCUAUAGUGGCUAACUUGUCACGAGGAAACCCAUUAUUUGAGGAGAACAACGAACUGCCUGCAUAGUUAUGAAAAGAGCCAUUGAUGGCUCAGCCAUAGAAGACAUUGCCCGAAUAUGUGCUUCCUACUUUAGAUGUUGUCCGAGGUAGUAUCGAGAGGCCUGCAAUUAACGCAAACAAUUUUGAAAUCAAGACGAUCACCAUCCAAAUGAUACAAAACAAUUUGCAAUUUCGGGGUAAUAUGAUGAAAAACCUGAACCGGGACUUAAAGAGAUUCCUACAAUUGUAUAACACAUAUAAAUACAACGGAGUGACCGACGAUGCAAUUCGUCUUCGGUUGUUUCUGUUAUCACUUUGUGACAACGCCUACAAAUGACUCGAUUCCCAAGAGCCAGGUUCCACCAUAGCAUGGGACGACUUAGCGAGAAAAUUUUUACACAAAAUUUUCCCAUUAGUUGA